Molecule: ribosomal RNA, 253 nt
Filed under: uncultured bacterium
Lineage: Bacteria
Description: partial 16S ribosomal RNA
Rfam family: Bacterial small subunit ribosomal RNA
Source: RNAcentral
UACAGAGGGUGCGAGCGUUAAUCGGAAUUACUGGGCGUAAAGCGUGCGUAGACGGUUAUUUAAGUCAGGUGUGAAAGCCCCGGGCUCAACCUGGGAAUUGCAUUUGAGACUGAAUAGCUAGGGUGCGGAUGAGGGAAGCGGAAUUUCCGGUGUAGCGGUGAAAUGCGUAGAUAUCGGAAGGAACACCAGUGGCGAAAGCGGCUUCCUGGUCCAGCACCGACGUUCAGGCACGAAAGCGUGGGGAGCAAACAGG